GGCCAGUGGCAGAGGCGAUAUUUUCUGCUGGUCAAUGCUGUUAGUGCUACUGUUUGGCCACUGCUGUGAAGAACCUAUCGAGGCAUUUUCUGAUCCAGAACUCUCUUCGAUUUCUUAAGGUCUCUGAAACGGGUCACAUGCAGUGCAGUGGACUGCCAGCUCAGCCACCUUGACUAUGCUUUCAAGAGUUACUUCAUCAUCAAUAUUAAGAACUUGGUCUAUACAAUUUACCAUAUUUUCCUUGGAGAUGAGAGGGACCCUUCUAAACCAUGUAGCCAAAUGACAACUCUCAUUUGACAUAGUUUCAUCUACUGCUUUUCUUUUGAUAGAA
RNAcentral lists this long non-coding RNA (331 nucleotides) under Helianthus annuus (common sunflower). Its description in RNAcentral is "hypothetical non coding rna". The record is from RNAcentral. Lineage: Eukaryota; Viridiplantae; Streptophyta; Magnoliopsida; Asterales; Asteraceae.